GGGUUUGUGGUCCAGUGGCUAAGACGUUCCAUUUGCAACCUCGUCGCUCUUGGAAAGGUCCUGGGUUCAAUUCCCAGCUGAUCCA
Cryptococcus depauperatus CBS 7841 is the source of this 85-nucleotide non-coding RNA. Lineage: Eukaryota; Fungi; Basidiomycota; Tremellomycetes; Tremellales; Cryptococcaceae. The record is from Rfam.